This is a long non-coding RNA of Calypte anna (Anna's hummingbird), 704 nucleotides long. RefSeq lists it as uncharacterized. Lineage: Eukaryota; Metazoa; Chordata; Aves; Apodiformes; Trochilidae. The record is from RefSeq and is a predicted model, not a curated record. The transcript is spliced from 3 exons.
UGGGCUCGCGCGGCGUCUCCUCCUCUCCCCUCGCGUCCCCUCCCUUCCCUCAGCCGCCGCCUCGCGUCUCCUCAGGGCGUGAGCGGGAACCGCCGCUCCGCCGGCCCGGGAGGAGGCAGAGCAGGGAGCGGAAGGGAGGGAAGGAGAAGCGGCGGCUGGCAGGCUGUGAGGGUGGUGGGGCUGUGCUAUAGGUCGGCGCGGUGGGUUGUAGGUCGUUGCUGCCUCGGCUGCCGAGGAAAAUGGGGUCGAAGGGCGGCGGUGUUUGGCCGCCGUGGUGCCCGGAGAGCGAGCGCCCUUUCGGCCGCUGCUGAGGGAGCGACACGUCUGUCCCCAGCUGUGGUGCUGAGGGGACUUUGCUGGCAGCUUGAGUGUAGGCGAGCGGGGCCCUGAGGUGACGCAGCAGCCAGGCUCGGAGGGAAACCCUAGAGGUAGCUCCAGAGAAUGCUCGGUGCACUUCACUUAGGCUGCUCUGUCGUAUUAUGGAUCCUUGGCAUUUCAUUCUGAAGAUGAAUUGUCAUGACACUGGUUACUUGAGGUGAAGAUGGUAAAGAAGAACAUUACACUGUGAACCAGAUGAUUUUUGAGAUUUCCUCUGUCUCAGGGCAAAAUCCAUCGCGUGUGAAAACAAAUGGAGCUGGGAACUAACAGGAGACAUGGCAAAGGGGUAUAGUGAUGUGGCAUAAACUGAAAGAAGAAUAAUUCCU